Molecule: antisense RNA, 187 nt
Filed under: Coleochaete nitellarum
Lineage: Eukaryota; Viridiplantae; Streptophyta; Coleochaetophyceae; Coleochaetales; Coleochaetaceae
Description: Antisense RNA which regulates isiA expression
Rfam family: Antisense RNA which regulates isiA expression
Source: Rfam by way of RNAcentral
GAUAACCAAAGAUAACUCCUGGACUAACAGUAAUAUUAGUAAUUUUUCUUACAUCACCACCACCAGGUGCCCAUGUAUCAUAUACACCACCAAACCAUAUAGCUUUAGCUACUAAUAAUAAAGCGCCAACACCUAAUAUAAUUAAAUGAAUACCUAAAAUAGUAGUCAUUUUAUUUUUAUCUUUCCA